RNAcentral lists this ribosomal RNA (633 nucleotides) under uncultured bacterium. RNAcentral describes it as "bacterial SSU rRNA". It matches the Rfam family "Bacterial small subunit ribosomal RNA", at positions 817 to 1450 of the family's 1533-position model. The record is from RNAcentral.
UAGCCGUUGGGACUCUUGAAGUCUUAGUGGCGCAGCUAACGCACUAAGUAGACCGCCUGGGGAGUACGGCCGCAAGGUUAAAACUCAAAUGAAUUGACGGGGGCCCGCACAAGCGGUGGAGCAUGUGGUUUAAUUCGACGCAACGCGAAGAACCUUACCUGGCCUUGACAUGCAGAGAACUUUCCAGAGAUGGAUUGGUGCCUUCGGGAACUCUGACACAGGUGCUGCAUGGCCGUCGUCAGCUCGUGUCGUGAGAUGUUGGGUUAAGUCCCGUAACGAGCGCAACCCCUAUCCCUAGUUGCUAGCAGUUCGGCUGAGAACUCUAGGGAGACUGCCGGUGACAAACCGGAGGAAGGUGGGGAUGACGUCAGGUCAUCNUGGCCCUUACGGCCAGGGCUACACACGUGCUACAAUGGUGCGUACAGAGGGCUGCAAACCCGCGAGGGGGAGCUAAUCUCACAAAACGCAUCGUAGUCCGGAUCGGAGUCUGCAACUCGACUCCGUGAAGUCGGAAUCGCUAGUAAUCGCGAAUCAGAAUGUCGCGGUGAAUACGUUCCCGGGCCUUGUACACACCGCCCGUCACACCAUGGGAGUGGAUUGCACCAGAAGUGGUUAGUCUAACAUUCGGGAGGA